UCUCUCACACACACACACACACACACACACACACACACACACGCUCAUACUCAGGUACAUGUUUGUACCCACAAUGACUAAGGAGGUCAUUGCCAAAUUCUGUAUUGCCAGGCUCUCCAGGCACAUCUGAGUUUCCUUGUGUCAAAAGGAGCGUUUCCAAGCUCAUUGGUCUGUUGCCAUGGAAACACUCAGGCUUCCAGAACUCUGGGCUAGGGCCUGCCCCCCAUGGUGCAGAGGAGGAGAAGAGAGCUGAAGGGUGACAGAAAGAAGGUAAAUGGCUGUGGAUUCUCAAGAAAUCUCUGCCUAAGUCCAGCAUGUGUGCACACCUUCUGCCAACUCCCCACCAGAAGUGAUCAGACCUAGAAAGCACCGUUUUGUGACCAGGGUCAGGUACCCUCCCUGGAGCAGGGAGCAGGGAAAUUGCCAGGCUGACCCUGGGAAAACCUACAGACCAAGGGUUCCAACCUGAGCUUCUGAAAUGACAUCUGGAAAGGCUGAUGGAGCUAUUUAUUGAUCAGGAGUGAAAAGGGGCUCAAGUGGGAGUUGGGUUCAGGAGAAGGGAAGCUCACCUGGCUGCAGUGUUCCCUGGACUAGGCCACGAUGGCCUCUUGAGACCUGCUUCAGGCUUCCCUGCCCUUGUUUUCAUCCAGAGUACUGUGGAGUUGAAAGAGAAUACUAAGUCCCUAGUCCCCAAACUCUGAAAUCCCCAAGUAUUCUUGCAGGGGCUGAGGGUGGGGCUUCCCAGUGACCUAUCUUUCUCUGACCUCUCUCCCAAACUGACCCCACCAGCCCUAUAUCCUUGAUUAAUUACACUGUUUUUCUGUCCCAGCCAGAUGAGUGAUCAAUAAAUAAUGCUGC
Molecule: long non-coding RNA, 858 nt
Organism: Ictidomys tridecemlineatus (thirteen-lined ground squirrel)
Lineage: Eukaryota; Metazoa; Chordata; Mammalia; Rodentia; Sciuridae
Source: Ensembl